This 507-nucleotide ribosomal RNA is filed under the name uncultured bacterium. Its description in RNAcentral is "partial 16S ribosomal RNA". It matches the Rfam family "Bacterial small subunit ribosomal RNA", at positions 28 to 507 of the family's 1533-position model. The record is from RNAcentral.
GACGAACGCUGGCGGCGUGCUUAACACAUGCAAGUCGAACGGGCCUUGUCCCCUUUUUUUUGGGGGUGGGGUUAGUGGCGAACGGGUGAGUAACACGUGAGUAACCUGCCCCUCACUUCUGGAUAACCGCUUGAAAGGGUGGCUAAUACGGGGUGUUCUGGCCUGCUCGCAUGGGUGGGUUUGGAAAGAUUCGACCGGUUUUGGUUGUGUUGGUGGGGGAUGGGCUCGCGGCCUAUCAGCUUGUUGGUGGGGUGAUGGCCUGCCAAGGCUUUGACGGGUAGCCGGCCUGAGAGGGUGGGCGGUCACACUGGGACUGAGACACGGCCCAGACUCCUACGGGAGGCAGCAGUGGGGAAUAUUGCACAAUGGGCGCAAGCCUGAUGCAGCGACGCCGCGUGAGGGAUGGAGGCCUUCGGGUUGUGAACCUCUUUCGCCAGUGAAGAAGGUCCUGCUCUUUGUGGUGGGGUUGACGGUAGCUGGGUUAAUGAAGCGCCGGCUAACUACGUG